RNAcentral lists this long non-coding RNA (211 nucleotides) under Amborella trichopoda. Its description in RNAcentral is "long non-coding RNA (ATRI_LNC003657)". The record is from RNAcentral. Lineage: Eukaryota; Viridiplantae; Streptophyta; Magnoliopsida; Amborellales; Amborellaceae.
AAGUAAGAAAGAUGAUGAAGAAGGAAGAAGAUGAAGAUGAGAAGAAAAAGUAAGAAAUUGAAAGAAAAGAAUGGGAAGUAGUUGAUUUUUACAGAAAACAAGAAAUCCGACCUAAAAUGCACCCUGGAGCUAUCUACUUCGGCUAACAGAGGGUUUAGAUAACCCUAAAACCUUCCAAAAUGAUAAAUAUUACUUUUGGAGGUUGAAGGUU